This 83-nucleotide transfer RNA is filed under the name Saccharothrix ecbatanensis. Its description in RNAcentral is "tRNA-OTHER". Lineage: Bacteria; Bacillati; Actinomycetota; Actinomycetes; Pseudonocardiales; Pseudonocardiaceae. The record is from RNAcentral.
UGCGGUGCCGGUCGGUGGUUCGCAGACCUCGAAAGCGUGUGAGGUGAAAGCCUCCGUGGGUUCAAAUCCCACCGCCACCGCAG